CCUACGGGUGGGCUGCAGUGGGGAAUAUUGCGCAAUGGGCGAAAGCCUGACGCAGCGACGCCGCGUGAGGGAUGAAGGUCUUCGGAUCGUAAACCUCUGUCAGCAGGGAAGAACGGUCACUGUGCUAAUCAGCAGUGAAUUGACGGUACCUGCAAAGGAAGCACCGGCUAACUCCGUGCCAGCAGCCGCGGUAAUACGGAGGGUGCGAGCGUUAAUCGGAAUUACUGGGCGUAAAGCGCUCGUAGGCGGUAUGUCAAGUCAAGGGUGAAAUCCCCGCGCUCAACGUGGGAACUGCCUUUGGAGACGGGAGGACUGGAGAGCAGGAGAGGGCGGUGGAACUCCAUGGGUAGCGGUAAAAUGCGUAGAUAUAUGGAAGAACACCAGUGGCGAAGGCGGCCGCCUGGCCUGUUGCUGACGCUGAGGCACGAAAGCGUGGGGAGCAAAUAGGAUUAGAUACCCCUGUAGUC
Molecule: ribosomal RNA, 467 nt
Filed under: uncultured bacterium
Lineage: Bacteria
Description: partial 16S ribosomal RNA
Rfam family: Bacterial small subunit ribosomal RNA
Source: RNAcentral